GACGUAGAGCGCGAGCGUUGUCCGGAUUUAUUGGGCGUAAAGAGCGUGUAGGCGGCCUGACAGGUCUGCUGUGAAAACUCGAGGCUCAACCUCGAGAUGUCGGCGGAAACCGUCUGGCUAGAGUCCGGAAGAGGAGAGUGGAAUUCCUGGUGUAGCGGUGAAAUGCGCAGAUAUCAGGAAGAACACCUAUGGCGAAGGCAGCUCUCUGGGACGGUACUGACGCUGAGACGCGAAAGCGUGGGGAGCGAACAGG
RNAcentral lists this ribosomal RNA (253 nucleotides) under uncultured bacterium. RNAcentral's name for it is "partial 16S ribosomal RNA". It matches the Rfam family "Bacterial small subunit ribosomal RNA", at positions 524 to 776 of the family's 1533-position model. The record is from RNAcentral.